RNAcentral lists this long non-coding RNA (313 nucleotides) under Panax ginseng (ginseng). RNAcentral describes it as "long non-coding RNA (PGIN_LNC000583)". Lineage: Eukaryota; Viridiplantae; Streptophyta; Magnoliopsida; Apiales; Araliaceae. The record is from RNAcentral.
AUUAAGUUAAUUAUUUUAACAUAAUUAAUAAUGUUAUUUAUGCAAGAUAAAUCAGAUAUGGAAUCUAAACCCUAAUUCUGGAUUUGGAAUAAGGAAAGAGAAUAUUAAUAUAAUAUUAUUUUUAUUUCAAUAUUAUAAUUGUGUACUGUAUAUGUGUAGACCGAUAAUGGUUGGUCAAUUAUGGUAUGUCAUGCUAAAACCCUAGCAUUAAUUUGUUUAAUCCUAUUUUGAAACUCAAAUGGGAGAUCCAAGACUGUGUAGUGAUUGUGUUAUAUGAAUAAUGACAUGUAUUGUAGAAUUUAGUCUUAAUUAG